GGAUGAACGCUGGCGGCGUGCCUAAUACAUGCAAGUCGAGCGAACGGACGAGAAGCUUGCUUCUCUGAUGUUAGCGGCGGACGGGUGAGUAACACGUGGAUAACCUACCUAUAAGACUGGGAUAACUUCGGGAAACCGGAGCUAAUACCGGAUGAUAUUUUGAACCGCAUGGUUCAAAAGUGAAAGACGGUCUUGCUGUCACUUAUAGAUGGAUCCGCGCUGCAUUAGCUAGUUGGUAAGGUAACGGCUUACCAAGGCAACGAUGCAUAGCCGACCUGAGAGGGUGAUCGGCCACACUGGAACUGAGACACGGUCCAGACUCCUACGGGAGGCAGCAGUAGGGAAUCUUCCGCAAAGGGCGAAAGCCUGACGGAGCAACGCCGCGUGAGUGAUGAAGGUCUUCGGAUCGUAAAACUCUGUUAUUAGGGAAGAACAUAUGUGUAAGUAACUGUGCACAUCUUGACGGUACCUAAUCAGAAAGCCACGGCUAACUACGUG
This 498-nucleotide ribosomal RNA is filed under the name uncultured bacterium. Its description in RNAcentral is "partial 16S ribosomal RNA". It matches the Rfam family "Bacterial small subunit ribosomal RNA", at positions 27 to 507 of the family's 1533-position model. The record is from RNAcentral.